Molecule: transfer RNA, 72 nt
Filed under: Exophiala mesophila
Lineage: Eukaryota; Fungi; Ascomycota; Eurotiomycetes; Chaetothyriales; Herpotrichiellaceae
Description: partial tRNA-Arg
Rfam family: tRNA
About the family: Transfer RNA (tRNA) molecules are approximately 80 nucleotides in length. Their secondary structure includes four short double-helical elements and three loops (D, anti-codon, and T loops).
Source: RNAcentral
GACAGCGUGGCGAAAUGGCAUCGCGCUUGACUACGAAUCAAGAGAUUGCGGGUUCGAAUCCCGUCGCCGUCU